This is a non-coding RNA of Arvicanthis niloticus (Nile rat), 1805 nucleotides long. The record is from RefSeq and is a predicted model, not a curated record. NCBI's taxonomy places the organism in Eukaryota, Metazoa, Chordata, Mammalia, Rodentia, Muridae.
AUGGCAAGUUCAGCUGAGCGUGCCAAGCAAGUCGAGGACUUGAUGAAGCUAUGGGGAGACCGGUACUUUGACCCAGCCAAUGACAAGUUCAGCAAGUCAGCCAAUAGCCCAGAUGGGAAGAAACGUUCUCGAACCUUCUACUGGCUCAUCUUGGACUCCAUUUUCAAGGUGUUUGAUGCCAUCAUGAACUUCAGGAAGGAGGAGACAGCCAAGCUGAUUGAAAAGCUGGAUAUCAAGCUGGUCAGCGAGGAUAAGGACAAGGAGCAAGCAAACCGCUGCUCAAGGCUGGGAUGUGCUGCUGGCUGCCCACACGGGGAUACCCUGCUCCAGAUGAUCAGCAUCCCUUUUCCAUCCCCUGUCACUGCACAGAAGUACCGUUGUGAGUUGCUGUACAAGGGGCCACCUGAUGAUGAGGCCACCAUGGGUAUUAAGAGUUGUGACCCCAAAGGCCCCCUUAUGAUGUACAUUUUCAAGAUGGUGCCAACCUCUGACAAAGGCUGCUUCUAUGCCUUUGGUAGAAUGCUCUCUGGGGUGGUGUCCACGGGCCUGUAGUUCUGGAUCAUGGGCCCCAACUACAUGCCUGAGAAGAAAGAGGACCUGUACCUGAAGCCUAUCCAAAGAACCAUUCUGAUAAUGGGCCACUACGUGCAGACAACUGAGGAUGCACCCUGUGGAAACAUUGUGGGGCUGGUCGGAGUGGACCAGUUCCUUGUGAAGACCGGGACCAUCACCACCUUUGAGCACGCUCACAAUAUGCGUGUGAUGAAGUUCAGUGUCAGCCCUGUCGUCAGGGUGGCAAUGGAGACCAAGAACCCAGCUGACCAGCCCAAGCUGGUGGAGGAGCUGAAGUGGUUGGCUAAGUCUGACCCUGUGGUGCAGUGCAUCCUUGAGGAGUCUGGAGAGCACAUUAUUGCUGGCACCUGGAGAUCUGCCUUAAGGGCCUGGAAGAGGACCAUGCCUGCAUCCCCAUCAAGAAAUCUGACCCUGUCGUGUCAUACUGGGAGACAGUAAGGAGUCCAAUGUGCUAUGUCUGUCUAAGUCCCCAAAUAAGCACAACCGGCUACACAAGAAGGCCAGGCCCUUCCCUGAUGGCCUGACAGAGGGCAUCCAUAAGGGUGAGGUGUCUGCGCCCGCCAGGAGCUCAAAGCAUGUGCCCACUACAUGGCUGAAAAGUAUGAGAGGGAUGUUGCUGAAGCCCACAAGAUCUGGUGCUUCGGCCCUGAUGGCACUGGCCCCAACAUUCUCACCAACAUCACCAAGGGUGUGCAGUACCUGAAUGAGAUCAAGGACAGUGUGGUGGCCGGCUUCCAGUGGGCUAUGAAGGAGGGCGCUCUUUGUGAGGAGAACAUUCAUGGUGUGCGAUUUGAUGUCCAUGAUGUGACCCUGUAUGCGGAUGCCAUCCACCAGGGAGGUGGCCAGAUCAUCCCCACGGCAUGUUGCUCUAUGCCAGUGUGCUGACCGCACAGCCCCGCCUCAUGGAGACCAUCUAUCUGGUGGAGAUCCAGUGUCCUGAGCAAGUGGUGGGUGGCAUCUACGGUGUCCUGAACAGGAAGUGUGGCCAUGAAUUUGAGGAGUCCCAGUUGGCUGGUACCCCCAUGUUCAUGGUCAAGGCAUAUCUGCCUGAUCUUCCAUCUAACGUUGGUGGCCUGGCCUUCCCCCAGUGCAUGUUUGACCACUGGCAGAUCCUGCCUGGGGACCUCUUUGACAACAGCAGCUGCCCCAGCCAAGUGGUAGCUGAGACCCGCUAGCACAAAGGCCUGAAGGAAGGCAUCCCAGAGCUGGACAACUUCCUAGACAAACUGUAG